UACGAAGGUCCCAAGCGUUAUCCGGAUUUAUUGGGUUUAAAGGGUGCGUAGGCGGGCUAUUAAGUCAGUGGUGAAAGCCCCCGGCCUAACCGGGGAACUGCCAUUGAUACUGAUGGUCUUGAGUACAUUUGAGGUGGGCGGAAUGUGUCAUGUAGCGGUGAAAUGCUUAGAUAUGACACAGAACACCGAUUGCGAAGGCAGCUCACUAAACUGUAACUGACGCUGAGGCACGAAAGCGUGGGGAGCAAACAGG
Molecule: ribosomal RNA, 253 nt
Filed under: uncultured bacterium
Lineage: Bacteria
Description: partial 16S ribosomal RNA
Rfam family: Bacterial small subunit ribosomal RNA
Source: RNAcentral